Molecule: long non-coding RNA, 247 nt
Organism: Pseudoliparis swirei
Lineage: Eukaryota; Metazoa; Chordata; Actinopteri; Perciformes; Liparidae
Exons: 2
Source: RefSeq, a predicted model, not a curated record
UCACGCCAGGCGGGGAGUGUUUUCUUACAGCUGUUAAGCCAGCAUGUUAAUACGUUUUAUUUUGAAAAAACAGGAAAUGUCCCGUAACUUCCGGUAGCUUGUAAUCAGGAAGUAAACAAGAGCAUGGCUCAGAGACGCUGUCUUCAUUAGUUUUGUAAUCCAGUGGAAUCUGCAUACAUCUUGUACCUUUUGAUAGCAUCGUUGUUUUACACUUUCCUAUGUCAAUAAACCUGUGGACAACGGACAA